AUACUUCUUUGAUUAUAUAGUGAUGCCAAUGUUUACAUAUAUAAAAAAUGGUAUUCUUUUAAAGGUUCGAGUAUCUUAUUCACAAAUAUUUAUGAUACAUGAAUUAAAAAAACACAAACAAUACAAUAUAAAGGUAAUGUUGUGUAAUGGCUCAUAUUUGGGGAAUUCAUCUAAAGGCCCAGAGGAUUGGCAUCAAAGUGGAGUUGGUUUGAUGGUUGCACUAGCUGGGUGUGUGGAAGAGCAUUGCUACGCUAGGACCUAGUGCAGCAUGUCUCUGUUCAUUAUGCACUAGGGGUAGUGCAGAAUACCCCCUCCACACUGGGGGUAGUGCAGAAGGCCGAACCUGUUUUAAGUGAAGUUUCAGUUGCGAAAUUGAAGCCAAAAGUCCUCUUUUGAGUGGGAUACUGAUCUUAUAUGGGAAGAAAUUGGGUUACGGCUUACUUGUACUAUGGGGAAAGGCUACGAACAUAUAAAUAUUACUCUUAUGAGUUGUAUUGAUGAUUUUUGCUAAGAGGCUAGGGAAAUUAGUUAGAUUUUGUUUUUAGCUUGUAUCCAAGAUUUCUUUUAUAGUGAAAUAAGAAAACAGGAACCCAUGGAUGUAAGCACAUUGCCGAACCAUGUAAAUCCUAUCAACCCAUGCCCUCCGCUACCACC
This 654-nucleotide unclassified non-coding RNA is filed under the name Hevea brasiliensis (rubber tree). The record is from RNAcentral. Lineage: Eukaryota; Viridiplantae; Streptophyta; Magnoliopsida; Malpighiales; Euphorbiaceae.